This is a long non-coding RNA of Nelumbo nucifera (sacred lotus), 1699 nucleotides long. RefSeq lists it as uncharacterized. NCBI's taxonomy places the organism in Eukaryota, Viridiplantae, Streptophyta, Magnoliopsida, Proteales, Nelumbonaceae. The record is from RefSeq and is a predicted model, not a curated record.
UCGGGAGGGAGAGAGUGGAGAGCGCGGGUGAGCGGUUUACCUCCCCUCCGGUGGGUAACUGGUACUCUCCAGAAAUUUCACAUAGGACCGAGUACAGCAGCAUACGAAAUUACGAAUGCGGGGAUCGUGAGGAAUUUAGGUUUUUUCCUGUCAAAUUCUCGCCCAUGAAUCUCGAACCAGAUCCGUUCUCAUUUUUCAGAGAUUAGUGUUGUUGAAAGACCAGUCUAACGAAUCGUUGAGGCUAGGAAGAUUGUGGCCAUUGAAAACAACUGCGGUUUUUAUGUAUUGCUCGGAAAUCAGAUUCAAAGUCAUUACAGAUAAACGAAAUAGAAUAAGCAGAACAGAAAAUUGAGGCAUGAGAAGGAAAAACAAUUUUGACUGUUUCUUUCCAAGAUUUUGUAAACCGUUAUUUAUUGGAGUCUUUUGUUUUAACAUUCUAGUAGAAUGGAGAGAUUACAGCUAAGUUGCAACAAAUGCACUUGCUUUACAGAAGAAUGCACUUGGAGUUGUGGUGGGGGAUAUGUUAGGAGACACGAUCUGUACGCCCAUUGCAAUGGUUGGAGUAUCAUGCUUUCUCAAGGUACAAAAUCGGGGAUCUAUUUUUCCGUGGAUUUUUGUUAAAUUUGUUGUUCUAUCCUCCACUGUAAUUUAGAUUUUGUGGGUUAUCAAUGAUAAGCAGUUCUAAAUCGGCCAUGAAGAAGGUGUUUGACUGUCAAUUCCCUCUGGCCGUCAUGGCAAAUCAGAUAUGCUUUUGAUUAAGGGUCUCCUUAUAUAAGGUGUUCUUUUGAUUAUUCUAGGCGUUCUUGGCAGAUGAGAUGAAAUAAAUUAAAACAAAUAUUCUUUUGAUUAAGGCCUCUCGGUAUCACGCUUGGGUGACACAAACUGCUCUCGAUGUGUUGCAAAUGGGUGGCUCCAAGAGAAUAUCCUUUCGACUCCAAAUGCACUGGAUCUAGAGUGAAUUAGUAUUCUCAAUUUUGAUGUACUUUUCGAAACCCCAAUUUGGAGAAUGUGGCAUUUCUCUGGAAGGAUAUUGACCCAAUUAUGGUGAUGCCUGCUCUAGGUCUGUGACAUUUUACUAUUUGAUUGGCAAAUUGAGGGACCAACAUAUCUAAGUAAUGCACGUAGAUGCAGAUGCAGAUUAAGGAAUACAAUUUUCAACGUCAUCACAUGCUAUAUUGAAGGCUCAAGUUCUCCCCUCAGAGAUUAUUACAGAUCACUCGUGAUGCACAUGGGCAUGUUCACGGGCCAAUUCUUUACAAUACACUGCCAGAUCUGUUUCUGUUAUCAUAAUUCACAUGGAGUCUCUGGUAGGUCAAACAAUUGAUGAUGGUUCUCGAAUCCCCUUCUAUAUUGAUACUCUUUCGCCUAAACUUCAUCKUAAUAGCGUGAAUCUCCAGCACUGCCAAUGCUUCUUCCAUGUUGAUUGAACACAAACUGACAUUCUUGCAAGCAUUGAACAGCACCUUACCUUCAUUCUCCCCUUCAACCACUCCUAUUGCUCAUCGACCAUUCUCUUUUCUGGACACAUCAAAAUUGAUCUUCAUCGUCUCUACUGGCGGGCUACCAAAUUACUUUCUCUUUAAUGCUUUAUGGACUUUUGAGUCAAGCUUAAUAAAUGAUCUGCUAGCAAACCUGUUCCCUCUUUCAUUGAAUGACAUUGUUUAUUUAUUAUUGGAGAUUGGGGCCUUAUUUGACUAGA